UACGGAGGGGGCGAGCGUUAUUCGGAAUCAUUGGGCGUAAAGGGCGCGUAGGCGGCUUCGUAAGUCUUGGGUGAAAGCCCUCGGCUCAACCGAGGAAUUGCCUUGGAUACUGCGAAGCUCGAGGCUGGAAGAGGACAGUGGAAUUCCCGGUGUAGCGGUGAAAUGCGUAGAUAUCGGGAGGAACGCCGGAGGCGAAAGCGAGUGACUGGCGCGUUCCUGACGCUGAGGUGCGAAAGCUAGGGGAGCAAACAGG
RNAcentral lists this ribosomal RNA (253 nucleotides) under uncultured bacterium. RNAcentral's name for it is "partial 16S ribosomal RNA". It matches the Rfam family "Bacterial small subunit ribosomal RNA", at positions 524 to 776 of the family's 1533-position model. The record is from RNAcentral.